RNAcentral lists this ribosomal RNA (497 nucleotides) under uncultured bacterium. RNAcentral describes it as "partial 16S ribosomal RNA". It matches the Rfam family "Bacterial small subunit ribosomal RNA", at positions 28 to 507 of the family's 1533-position model. The record is from RNAcentral.
GAUGAACGCUGGCGGCGUGCCUAAUACAUGCAAGUCGAGCGAAAGGACCAGAAGCUUGCGUCUUUGAUGUUAGCGGCGGACGUGUGUGUCACACGUGUAUAACCCACCUAUAUUACUGGGAUAAUUUCGGGAAUCCGGCUAUUACACCGGAUAAUCUCUUGAACCGCAUGGUUCAAAAGUAAAAUACGGCGGUGCUGGCUCGACUAGAUGGUUCUCGGCUUGUUUGACUAGUUGGGAAGGUACCGGCUUACCAAGGCGAGGAUGCGUAGCCGACCUGAGAGGGUGGUCGGCCACACGGGAGGUGAGACAGGGUCCAGACUCCUACGGGAGGCAGCAGUAGGGAAUGUUCCGCAGUGGGCGAAAGCCUGACGGAACAAGGGCGCGUGAGUGAUGAAGGUCUUCGGAUCGUGAAACUCUGUUAUUAGGGAAAAACAGAUGUGUAAGUUACUGUACAGAGCUUGACGGUACCGGAUAAGAAAGCCACGGCUAACUACGUG